RNAcentral lists this transfer RNA (73 nucleotides) under Bacteroidales bacterium. Its description in RNAcentral is "tRNA-Lys". It matches the Rfam family "tRNA". Rfam says of the family: Transfer RNA (tRNA) molecules are approximately 80 nucleotides in length. Their secondary structure includes four short double-helical elements and three loops (D, anti-codon, and T loops). Further hydrogen bonds mediate the characteristic L-shaped molecular structure. tRNAs have two regions of fundamental functional importance: the anti-codon, which is responsible for specific mRNA codon recognition, and the 3' end, to which the tRNAs corresponding amino acid is attached (by aminoacyl-tRNA synthetases). tRNAs cope with the degeneracy of the genetic code in two manners: having more than one tRNA (with a specific anti-codon) for a particular amino acid; and 'wobble' base-pairing, i.e. permitting non-standard base-pairing at the 3rd anti-codon position. Lineage: Bacteria; Pseudomonadati; Bacteroidota; Bacteroidia; Bacteroidales. The record is from RNAcentral.
GCGCUUUUAGCUCAGUUGGUAGAGCAACUGACUCUUAAUCAGUUUGUCCCGGGUUCGAUUCCCUGAAAGUGCG